Molecule: non-coding RNA, 27 nt
Filed under: Mus musculus (house mouse)
Lineage: Eukaryota; Metazoa; Chordata; Mammalia; Rodentia; Muridae
Source: RNAcentral
UCUGAGGGAAAGGAAGGUGAAGCCUGU